UAAGUAAGCGGAGGAUGAGAAACUAAAUAGGAUUCCCUUAGUAAUGGCGAAUGAACAGGGAAAAGCUCAACGUGGAAAUUGUAGCUUCUGGCUCUGAAUUGUAGUUUCAAGAUGCAUUGCUAAUGGGGGCGUGGAUGUAAGCCUCUUGGAAAAGAGAAUCAUUGAGGGUGAGAAUCCUGUUUGUCAUCUGCGGUCCUCCAUGCACAGCAUGCUUUCUAAGAGUCACGUUCCUCGGGAUUGGAGCGCAAACUGGGUGGUAAAUUUCAUCUCAAGCUAAAUAUGGGUUUGAGACCGAUAGCAAACAAGUACCAUGAGGGAAAGAUGAAAAGGACUUUGAAAAGAGAGUUAAAAGUGCCUGAACUUGCUGAAAGGAAAGCGGAUGGAACCAGUCCUGCUUGGUGAGAUUGUUGUGCGCCAAAGCGAUUGCUCGCAACAUCAGCGCAAAGCGGUGCUGUGAGUCUUGAGCUGGCCGUGCGCGAUGCUUCUUGUCUUGUGCGUCAUCAACGUUUUGCAGGUGAGGACAACUCUUGAUACAUGGUAGCUUGCCUCUGGGCGAGUGAAAUAUGUCUUGUAGAACUCACCUGCAGAAUGUAUCUCAAUGUGAGGUUGCGUUGCUGUGUGUCUGGGCACCAGGAGCGCUGCAUGCUUGCAAUUCUCCCUUGCUCCCUCAGCGCUCCCUUGCAACUACAUGGUGACCAAAUGGGUUCCAUUCGACCCG
This 718-nucleotide ribosomal RNA is filed under the name Gymnodinium sp. 2 AR-2015. RNAcentral's name for it is "partial large subunit ribosomal RNA". It matches the Rfam family "Eukaryotic large subunit ribosomal RNA", at positions 43 to 651 of the family's 3401-position model. The record is from RNAcentral. Lineage: Eukaryota; Dinophyceae; Gymnodiniales; Gymnodiniaceae.